RNAcentral lists this ribosomal RNA (301 nucleotides) under uncultured bacterium. RNAcentral describes it as "partial 16S ribosomal RNA". It matches the Rfam family "Bacterial small subunit ribosomal RNA", at positions 509 to 809 of the family's 1533-position model. The record is from RNAcentral.
CAGUCGCCACGGGAAUACGUAGGUGGCAAGCGUUGUCCGGAAUUAUUGGGCGUAAAGGGCUCGCAGGCGGUUUCUUAAGUCUGAUGUGAAAGCCCCCGGCUCAACCGGGGAGGGUCAUUGGAAACUGGGAAACUUGAGUGCAGAAGAGGAGAGUGGAAUUCCACGUGUAGCGGUGAAAUGCGUAGAGAUGUGGAGGAACACCAGUGGCGAAGGCGACUCUCUGGUCUGUAACUGACGCUGAGGAGCGAAAGCGUGGGGAGCGAACAGGAUUAGAUACCCCCGUAGUCCCUGUCUCUUAUAA